UACGUAGGCAGCAAGCGUUGUUCGGAGUUACUGGGCGUAAAGGGUGCGUAGGCGGCUUUUUAAGUUUGGUGUGAAAUCUCCCGGCUCAACUGGGAGGGUGCGCCGAAUACUGAGAGGCUAGAGUGUGGGAGAGGAAAGUGGAAUUCAUGGUGUAGCAGUGAAAUGCGUAGAGAUCAUGAGGAAGACCAGUGGCGAAGGCGGGUCUCUGGACAGUUCCUGACACUGAGGCACGAAGGCCAGGGGAGCAAACGGG
Molecule: ribosomal RNA, 253 nt
Filed under: uncultured bacterium
Lineage: Bacteria
Description: partial 16S ribosomal RNA
Rfam family: Bacterial small subunit ribosomal RNA
Source: RNAcentral